CUCUACUAACCCAGGAAUAUAGAAACAUUGCUGACAGAGGAUCCAAGAUGGCCAAAGAGGAACAGCUCCAGAGUGCAGUUCCCAGCAAAAACAAUGCAGAGGCCCCGUUUUCCACAGAUUCAUGGUAAAGGGGACAGGUGACAACUUCACACUCAAUGAAUUACACUGCAGAAGAACUAUGUGAUGCCUGCCCUUUGCUCUGGAGGUAAAUACUACUAUCUCUGUCUCCCAGGGAUGUUUGCUAUACAAUAAUCUUUAAAAGAUGGCUCAGAACAAAAGACAGUUAGUACUUCACUCUUAAGAUUUGCAGAAGUACAAGGUACCCAUGAAGAACUGUCUCCCCCAAACCAUUUGAAACAGUUAGAACUUAGUGAUAAUUUCUGACUAUAUAAAAUAAAUACUGAACUACAAAUUCAUAUUAGCGUUAUUGACAUAUAUGUCCUUUCCUUUUCUUUCCAGCUUUAUGUCUGGUAACAAUGUGUGGUUCAAGAUGAGGAAUCUAUUCUUCAGUUUCUCAAAUAUACAAAGACUUACCCAUGCAAGAUGCAUUCCUCAGGCUUCUGAGUCAGCUGCCUCCAGCAGGGUGAAGACAAUGGCAAGCAGUGGCAGGAGACUUGAGGGUAGGGGACUAGUAGGAGACUUUACCAAGUUAGUUCUGUUCUCCCAUCCCUUCUCAUUCACUGUGUCCGACUCCAGCAAUGGCUACAUCUCUAUGUCCAGUGUACCUUCAAGUAACCGUGGCCCUGGGCUCCUACAACACCAGUUCCUCCUUUUUCUCUCCAGCCACGUGUGUUCAGAGUAUCUUCUUGCUGUGUCAAUCUCUGGUUUAUAUUAUUGUGAAUGUGAGAAUCCCUUGUGA
This 859-nucleotide long non-coding RNA is filed under the name Callithrix jacchus (white-tufted-ear marmoset). RNAcentral's name for it is "lncRNA (ENSCJAG00000076852.1)". The record is from RNAcentral. Lineage: Eukaryota; Metazoa; Chordata; Mammalia; Primates; Cebidae.